This 393-nucleotide ribosomal RNA is filed under the name uncultured bacterium. RNAcentral describes it as "partial 16S ribosomal RNA". It matches the Rfam family "Bacterial small subunit ribosomal RNA", at positions 523 to 918 of the family's 1533-position model. The record is from RNAcentral.
AUACGGAGGAUCCGAGCGUUAUCCGGAUUUAUUGGGUUUAAAGGGUGCGCAGGCGGGAGAUUAAGUCGGCGGGGAAAUUUUGCAGCUCAACUGUAAAAGUGCCUUCGAAACUGGUUUCCUUGAGUGUAGAUGAAGUAGGCGGAAUUUGUGGUGUAGCGGUGAAAUGCAUAGAUAUCACGAGGAACUCCGAUUGCGCAGGCAGCGUACUAAACUACUACUGACGCUCAGGCACGAAGGCGUGGGGAUCAAACAGGAUUAGAUACCCUGGUAGUCCACGCAGUAAACGAUGAUUACUAGCUGUUUGCGAUACAAUGUAAGCGGCUGAGCGAAAGCGUUAAGUAAUCCACCUGGGGAGUACGUUCGCAAGAAUGAAACUCAAAUGAAUUGGCGGGG